UAGAUAUUGAGAAUUAAAGGUAUAUUCUGCCCUAUGAUUUAUUUAAAUGGCUGCAGUAUAUUGACUGUGCAAAGGUAGCAUAAUAAUUAGUCUUUUAAUUGAAGGCUUGUAUGAAUGAGUGAAUGAGAAGUUUAUUUUAUUUUUUUUAUUUUUGGAAUUUAAUUUUUAUGUAAUAAAGCUUAAUUGUUUUUUAGGGACGAGAAGACCCUAUAGAAUUUUAAUUGGUUAUUUUUAUUAUUAUGUUUUAGGUUAUUUAAUUGUUUUAUUAUUUAUUUAAUUUUUGUUGGGGCGGUAGUCAAAUUAAUCUUUGAUUUUUUAAUUUCAUUUUAUAUAUGUUUAUAUUUGAUCCAUUAUUAGUGAUUAUAAGAUUAAAUUACCUUAGGGAUAACAGCAUAAUUUUUAUGGUGAGUUCAUAUUUAUAUAAAAGUUUGUGACCUCGAUGUUGAAUUAAGAUAAGAUUUUGGAGCAG
This 469-nucleotide ribosomal RNA is filed under the name Stictoscarta sulcicollis. Its description in RNAcentral is "partial large subunit ribosomal RNA". The record is from RNAcentral. Lineage: Eukaryota; Metazoa; Arthropoda; Insecta; Hemiptera; Cicadellidae.